This 775-nucleotide ribosomal RNA is filed under the name uncultured Neocallimastigales. RNAcentral describes it as "partial large subunit ribosomal RNA". It matches the Rfam family "Eukaryotic large subunit ribosomal RNA", at positions 24 to 643 of the family's 3401-position model. Lineage: Eukaryota; Fungi; Neocallimastigomycota; Neocallimastigomycetes; Neocallimastigales. The record is from RNAcentral.
GUAGUCUCGCACAGAUGCAUAUCAAUAAGCGGAGGAAAAGAAACUAACAAGGAUUCCCCUAGUAACGGCGAGUGAAGCAGGAAGAGCUCAAAUUUGAAAUCUUAAAGGGUUUCCCUUUACGAAUUGUAGUUUAAAGAAGUGUUUUCUGUUGAGGUUUUGGUAAAAGUUCUUUGGAAUAGGACAUCAUAGAGGGUGAGAAUCCCGUAUUUGACCUUUACUUUCAACUUUGUGAUAUACUUUCAAAGAGUCGGAUUGUUUGGGAAUGCAGUCCAAAAUGGGUGGUAAAGUUCAUCUAAAGCUAAAUAUUGGCGAGAGACCGAUAGCGAACAAGUACCGUGAGGGAAAGAUGGAAAAGAACUUUGAAAAGAGAGUUAAACAGUACGUGAAAUUGUCAAAAGGGAAGCGUUUGACACCAGUGUUGUUUUUCUGAAAAUCAAUUAAAGAGCUGUUUAUGCUAAGUUGUUUAGACUUUAUCAGCUAACUGUUUAGUUUUGAGCUUUUCUUUAAUGCACUUUUCAGUUAACAAGUCAACAUCAAUUUCUUUUGCUGUAAAAAAGCUUGAGGAAGGUGGCUUGAGAUUCGUCUUAAGUGUUUAUAGCCUCUUGCCUAUGCAGUCGGAGAGAUUGAGGUCUGCAGCGUAGAUCCUUCGGGGCUAAAUGCAUUUGUGCUAAGUUAUAGCAUUUUAUAGACAACUUGUUGACUAUGAUUUGUCUUGUAGCUUACUCGCUUAUGUUAUUUUACCUACGCUUAGGAUGUUGAUAUCGCGCUCUCACUG